This 231-nucleotide long non-coding RNA is filed under the name Solanum tuberosum (potato). Its description in RNAcentral is "long non-coding RNA (STUB_LNC005699)". The record is from RNAcentral. Lineage: Eukaryota; Viridiplantae; Streptophyta; Magnoliopsida; Solanales; Solanaceae.
CUGUAAGCAGAUCACAUCUGCUCUCCAUUCCUGAAUCACACUAUUUAUCAUCCUCCUUUUAUCCCUACAAUUUAAACCCCUCACAUUCCAUGAAAUUAUGGAAACAUUCAUCAUAUAUCUAAAGCCUUUCUCUUCCCCCUAUUUCUUGUGCCUUUGCUUUGGAAUUUCAUAUCAAUCAUUAAACCUUUGAGCUCCUGUAUGCCUUUGACUUUGGUGCUUUCCCCUGUUUUC